This 509-nucleotide ribosomal RNA is filed under the name uncultured bacterium. RNAcentral describes it as "partial 16S ribosomal RNA". It matches the Rfam family "Bacterial small subunit ribosomal RNA", at positions 35 to 539 of the family's 1533-position model. The record is from RNAcentral.
GACGAACGCUGGCGGCGUGCUUAACACAUGCAAGUCGAACGGAAAGGCCCUGCUUUUGUGGGGUGCUCGAGUGGCGAACGGGUGAGUAACACGUGAGUAACCUGCCCUUGACUUUGGGAUAACUUCAGGAAACUGGGGCUAAUACCGGAUAGGAGCUCCUGCUGCAUGGUGGGGGUUGGAAAGUUUCGGCGGUUGGGGAUGGACUCGCGGCUUAUCAGCUUGUUGGUGGGGUAGUGGCUUACCAAGGCUUUGACGGGUACCCGGCCUGAGAGGGUGACCGGACACAGUGGGGUGGCGAUCCGGCCGCGGCUCCUAGGGGGGGGUGCAGUGGGGCAGAUGGACGGAGCGGCGGGAGAUGGGUGCCGAAACGCCGCGGGCGGGAUGACGCGUGUCGGGUGGUAACCCGCUUGCGCGUGUGCCGAAGCGGGGGCGAAGGUAAGGGGGAAAGAAGCACCGGACAAGCACGGACCAGCAGCCGCGCUAAUAAACAGAAGCGCACAAGCCUGAAC